This 460-nucleotide ribosomal RNA is filed under the name uncultured bacterium. RNAcentral describes it as "partial 16S ribosomal RNA". It matches the Rfam family "Bacterial small subunit ribosomal RNA", at positions 338 to 795 of the family's 1533-position model. The record is from RNAcentral.
CCUACGGGAGGCAGCAGUGAGGAAUAUUGGUCAAUGGGCGGGAGCCUGAACCAGCCAAGUCGCGUGAGGGAAGACGGUCCUAUGGAUUGUAAACUUCUUUUGUGCGGGAGCAAUAAGGGCCACGCGUGGCCCGAUGAGAGUACCGCACGAAUAAGCAUCGGCUAACUCCGUGCCAGCAGCCGCGGUAAUACGGGGGAUGCGAGCGUUAGCCGGAUUUAUUGGGUUUAAAGGGUGCGUAGGCGGCGCUUCAGGUCAGCGGUGAAAUACCGGGGCUGAACCCCGGGGCUGCCGUUGAAACCGGAGCGCUAGAGUGCCGAUGCCGUCGGAGGAAUGUGUGGUGUAGCGGUGAAAUGCAUAGAUAUCAGACAGAACACCGAUGGCGAAGGCAGCUGACGAAUCGGUGAUUGACGCUGAUGCACGAAAGCGUGGGUAUCGAACAGGAUUAGAUACCCGAGUAGUC